GACGAACGCUGGCGGCGUGCUUAACACAUGCAAGUCGAACGGAAAGGCCCUGCUUUUGUGGGGUGCUCGAGUGGCGAACGGGUGAGUAACACGUGAGUAACCUGCCCUUGACUUUGGGAUAACUUCAGGAAGCUGGGGCUAAUACCGGAUAGGAGCUCCUGCUGCAUGGUGGGGGUUGGAAAGUUUCGGCGGUUGGGGAUGGACUCGCGGCUUAUCAGCUUGUUGGUGGGGUAGUGGCUUACCAAGGCUUUGACGGGUAGCCGGCCUGAGAGGGUGACCGGCCACAUUGGGACUGGGGUACGGCCCAGACUCCUACGGGAGGCAGCAGUGGGGAAUAUUGCACAAUGGGCGGAAGCCUGAUGCAGCAACGCCGCGUGCGGGAUGACGGCCUUCGGGUUGUAAACCGCUUUCGCCUGUGACGAAGCGUGAGUGACGGUAAUGGGUAAAGAAGCACCGGCUAACUACGUG
This 468-nucleotide ribosomal RNA is filed under the name uncultured bacterium. RNAcentral describes it as "partial 16S ribosomal RNA". It matches the Rfam family "Bacterial small subunit ribosomal RNA", at positions 28 to 507 of the family's 1533-position model. The record is from RNAcentral.